Monomorium pharaonis (pharaoh ant) is the source of this 267-nucleotide long non-coding RNA. RefSeq lists it as uncharacterized. The transcript has 2 exons. The record is from RefSeq and is a predicted model, not a curated record. NCBI's taxonomy places the organism in Eukaryota, Metazoa, Arthropoda, Insecta, Hymenoptera, Formicidae.
UGGGUAUAUUUGCAGCGUUCACAAAAUUAGGAAAAGUGUUUUCAUUCUGGUAUAAUGCUGGUAAUAUGACUGCUCCUUGUAUCAUCUGUAAUAAUUAUGCAAAUUAUUGUUACUAAAUACAGCAUUAAAUUAGAAAAAAACAAACGCCAGGAAAAUUGCAGAAAUGACGUGACUUUGAGCCAUGAUAAGAAAUUAAACUCAAAUAAUGUCUUCGUGUAAACACAAAAUGCACUUCAGUACUUGUACUGAAUUAUUAGUUGCACAAAA